AUUGAACGCUGGCGGCAGGCCUAACACAUGCAAGUCGAACGAGCGGCGGACGGGUGAGUAAUGUAUGGGGACUGCCCGAUAGAGGGGGAUAACUACUGGAAACGGUGGAUAAUACCGCAUACUAUCAGAUAACCCAUAUGGGAUUAGCUAGUAGGUGGGGUAACGGCUAACCUAGGCGACGAUCCCUAGCUGGUCUGAGAGGAUGAUCAGCCACACUGGGCCUGAGACACGGGCCAGACUCCUACGGAGGCAGCAGUGGGGAAUAUUGCACAAUGGGCGCAAGCCUGAUGCAGCCAUGUCGCGUGUAUGAAGAAGGCCUUAGGGUUGUAAAGUACUUUCAGCGGGGAGGCGUUACCCGCAGAAGAAGCACCGGCUAACUCCGUGCCAGCAGCCGCGGUAAUUC
This 403-nucleotide ribosomal RNA is filed under the name uncultured bacterium. Its description in RNAcentral is "partial 16S ribosomal RNA". It matches the Rfam family "Bacterial small subunit ribosomal RNA", at positions 30 to 526 of the family's 1533-position model. The record is from RNAcentral.